This 476-nucleotide ribosomal RNA is filed under the name Streptomyces sp. Its description in RNAcentral is "bacterial SSU rRNA". It matches the Rfam family "Bacterial small subunit ribosomal RNA", at positions 26 to 519 of the family's 1533-position model. Lineage: Bacteria; Bacillati; Actinomycetota; Actinomycetes; Kitasatosporales; Streptomycetaceae. The record is from RNAcentral.
AGGACGAACGCUGGCGGCGUGCUUAACACAUGCAAGUCGAACGAUGAACCACUUCGGUGGGGUUAGUGGCGAACGGGUGAGUAACACGUGGGCAAUCUGCCCUGCACUCUGGGACAAGCCCUGGAAACGGGGUCUAAUACCGGAUACUGAUCCUCGCAGGCAUCUGCGAGGUUCGAAAGCUCCGGCGGUGCAGGAUGAGCCCGCGGCCUAUCAGCUAGUUGGUGAGGUAACGGCUCACCAAGGCGACGACGGGUAGCCGGCCUGAGAGGGCGACCGGCCACACUGGGACUGAGACACGGCCCAGACUCCUACGGGAGGCAGCAGUGGGGAAUAUUGCACAAUGGGCGAAAGCCUGAUGCAGCGACGCCGCGUGAGGGAUGACGGCCUUCGGGUUGUAAACCUCUUUCAGCAGGGAAGAAGCGAAAGUGACGGUACCUGCAGAAGAAGCGCCGGCUAACUACGUGCCAGCAGCCGCG